This 468-nucleotide ribosomal RNA is filed under the name Omoedus orbiculatus. Its description in RNAcentral is "partial 16S ribosomal RNA". The stretch from base 77 to 372 matches the Rfam family "Bacterial large subunit ribosomal RNA", at positions 2074 to 2646 of the family's 2925-position model. Lineage: Eukaryota; Metazoa; Arthropoda; Arachnida; Araneae; Salticidae. The record is from RNAcentral.
AAGAUUAAACAUUUUAACUUCUUUAUUUUUACUAAAAAUCCAAAUUAUCUUAAAUGUAAAAAGACACUUAUAAUAAAGAAAGACGACAAGACCCUGUUGAACUUAACUUAAGUUUUACUGGGGCAGUAAGAUUAAGUAUUAUUUUAAUUUAUAUAAAUAUAUACUCAUCCAAUACAAAUGAAUUAUUCAGUUACCAUAGGGAUAACAGCGCAAUUAUAUAUUAAAGUUCUCAUUAAAUAUAUAGAUUACGACCUCGAUGUUGAAUUAAUAACCUAAUUAAAGCAACUUUUAAACAAGGAAGUCUGUUCGACUUUUAAAAAAUUACAUGAUUUGAGUUCAGACCGGUGUAAGCCAGGUCGGUUUCCAUCUUCUGUAUAAAUUUUUACAGUACGAAAGGACCUAUUAAUUUAAUUAAAUUAUUUAAUUGGCAGAUUAAUGCAUUAGAAUUAGAAUCUAAUUAAACUAAAA